Molecule: ribosomal RNA, 1484 nt
Filed under: Vibrio harveyi
Lineage: Bacteria; Pseudomonadati; Pseudomonadota; Gammaproteobacteria; Vibrionales; Vibrionaceae
Description: bacterial SSU rRNA
Rfam family: Bacterial small subunit ribosomal RNA
Source: RNAcentral
CUACACAUGCAGUCGAGCGGAACGAGUUAUCUGAACCUUCGGGGAACGAUAACGGCGUCGAGCGGCGGACGGGUGAGUAAUGCCUAGGAAAUUGCCCUGAUGUGGGGGAUAACCAUUGGAAACGAUGGCUAAUACCGCAUAAUACCUACGGGUCAAAGAGGGGGACCUUCGGGCCUCUCGCGUCAGGAUAUGCCUAGGUGGGAUUAGCUAGUUGGUGAGGUAAUGGCUCACCAAGGCGACGAUCCCUAGCUGGUCUGAGAGGAUGAUCAGCCACACUGGAACUGAGACACGGUCCAGACUCCUACGGGAGGCAGCAGUGGGGAAUAUUGCACAGUGGGCGCAAGCCUGAUGCAGCCAUGCCGCGUGUGUGAAGAAGGCCUUCGGGUUGUAAAGCACUUUCAGUCGUGAGGAAGGUAGUGUAGUUAAUAGCUGCAUUAUUUGACGUUAGCGACAGAAGAAGCACCGGCUAACUCCGUGCCAGCAGCCGCGGUAAUACGGAGGGUGCGAGCGUUAAUCGGAAUUACUGGGCGUAAAGCGCAUGCAGGUGGUUUGUUAAGUCAGAUGUGAAAGCCCGGGGCUCAACCUCGGAAUAGCAUUUGAAACUGGCAGACUAGAGUACUGUAGAGGGGGGUAGAAUUUCAGGUGUAGCGGUGAAAUGCGUAGAGAUCUGAAGGAAUACCGGUGGCGAAGGCGGCCCCCUGGACAGAUACUGACACUCAGAUGCGAAAGCGUGGGGAGCAAACAGGAUUAGAUACCCUGGUAGUCCACGCCGUAAACGAUGUCUACUUGGAGGUUGUGGCCUUGAGCCGUGUCUUUCGGAGCUAACGCGUUAAGUACACCGCCUGGGGGAGUACGGUCGCAAGAUUAAAACUCAAAUGUAUUUGACGGGGGCCCCGCACAAGCGGUGGCAGCAUGUGGUUUUAAUUCGAUGCCACCGCGGAAGAAUCUUUACCUACUUUUUAACAUCCAGAAGAACUUUCCAGAAGAUGGAUUGGUGCCUUUCGGGAACUCUGAAAACAGGGUGCUGCAUGGUUGUUCGUCCACCUCCUGGUUGUGAAAAUGUUGGGGUUAAAUUCCGCAACCGAGGGGCAACCCUUUAUCCUUGGUUUGCCAACCACUUCCUGGGGGGAAACUCCAGGGGAAAACCGCCGGGGAAUAAACCCGGGAAGGAAGGGGGGGGGAACCACUUACAAUUCUUUGGGGGCCCUUUAAACAAGGGGGGUUCACCCAUGGUGGUCAAAAAGGGGGGCCAUAACGAGGGGGCCGAUCAACUUUGGGAGGAAGGGAAGGCAAUCCCAAAAAAUGGUGCCCUGUGAUUUCAGGGAUUGGAAUUCGGUACACUCCCCACUCCUGUAAGAUGCGGGAAAUUCGUGAUAAAACGCUUGGAUUAACAUAAAGGCCCUGGGAUAAAAAUAUUUCUCCGCGGGGCUUUUUUGAAACCACCCCGCCUGAUCACACCGUAGAGAGAUUGGGGGUCUCCCCAA